This 405-nucleotide ribosomal RNA is filed under the name bacterium. RNAcentral describes it as "partial 16S ribosomal RNA". It matches the Rfam family "Bacterial small subunit ribosomal RNA", at positions 355 to 776 of the family's 1533-position model. The record is from RNAcentral.
UCGGGAAUUUUGCCCAAUGGACGAAAGUCUGAGGCAGCAACUCCGCGUGAGGGAUGAAGGCCUUCGGGUCGUAAACCUCUUUUCUCAGGGAAGAUUCAAGACGGUACCUGAGGAAUAAGCCACGGCUAACUACGUGCCAGCAGCCGCGGUAAUACGUAGGUGGCAAGCGUUGUCCGGAUUUACUGGGCGUAAAGAGCGCGCAGGCGGCUGGGCAAGUCCGAUGUGAAAGCUUCCGGCUUAACUGGAAAAUUGCAUCGGAAACUGCUCGGCUUGAAGGUGGGGGAGGGUAGCGGAAUUCCCGGUGUAGUGGAGCAAUGCGUAGAUAUCGGGAGGAACACCAGUGGCGAAGGCGGCUACCUGGCCCAUUCUUGACGCUGAGGCGCGAAAGCUAGGGGAGCAAACGGG